GACGAACGCUGGCGGCGUGCUUAACACAUGCAAGUCGAACGGAAAGGCCCUGCUUUUGUGGGGUGCUCGAGUGGCGAACGGGUGAGUAACACGUGAGUAACCUGCCCUUGACUUUGGGAUAACUUCAGGAAACUGGGGCUAAUACCGGAUAGGAGCUCCUGCUGCAUGGUGGUGGUUGGAAAGUUUCGGCGGUUGGGGAUGGACUCGCGGCUUAUCAGCUUGUUGGUGGGGUAGUGGCUUACCAAGGCUUUGACGGGUAGCCGGCCUGAGAGGGUGACCGGCCACAUUGGGACUGAGAUACGGCGCAGACUCCUACGGGAGGCAGCAGUGGGGAAUAUUGCACAAUGGGCGGAAGCCUGAUGCAGCAACGCCGCGUGCGGGAUGACGGCCUUCGGGUUGUAAACCGCUUUCGCCUGUGACGAAGCGUGAGUGACGGUAAUGGGUAAAGAAGCACCGGCUAACUACGUG
RNAcentral lists this ribosomal RNA (468 nucleotides) under uncultured bacterium. RNAcentral describes it as "partial 16S ribosomal RNA". It matches the Rfam family "Bacterial small subunit ribosomal RNA", at positions 28 to 507 of the family's 1533-position model. The record is from RNAcentral.